AAAACUUCCAACAACGGAUCUCUUGGCUCUGGCAUCGAUGAAGAACGCAGCGAAAUGCGAUAAGUAAUGUGAACUGCAGAAUCCAGUGAAUCAUCGAAUCUUUGAACGCACAUUGCGCACGCCAGCAUUCUGGCGGGCAUGCCUGUUCGAGCGUCAU
This 157-nucleotide ribosomal RNA is filed under the name Beauveria bassiana. RNAcentral's name for it is "5.8S ribosomal RNA". It matches the Rfam family "5.8S ribosomal RNA". From Rfam's summary of the family: 5.8S ribosomal RNA (5.8S rRNA) is a component of the large subunit of the eukaryotic ribosome. It is transcribed by RNA polymerase I as part of the 45S precursor that also contains 18S and 28S rRNA. The record is from RNAcentral. Lineage: Eukaryota; Fungi; Ascomycota; Sordariomycetes; Hypocreales; Cordycipitaceae.